AGCAGCCGCGGUAAUUCCAGCUCCAAUAGCGUAUAUUAAAGUUGUUGCAGUUAAAAAGCUCGUAGUUGAAUUUCGGGAUCAAUAUGUUGGUCGUGCCUUGGUACGUACUGGCAUUAUUGGUUUCUACCUUCUGAAGAACCUCGAUGUCAUUAAUUUGGUGUCUUGGGGAAUCAGGACUGUUACUUUGAAAAAAUUAGAGUGUUUAAAGCAGGCUCGCGCUUGAAUACAUUAGCAUGGAAUAAUGAAAUAGGACGUUUUGAUUCUAUUUUGUUGGUUUCUAGGAUUGACGUAAUGAUUAAUAGGGAUAGUUGGGGGCAUUAGUAUUCAAUUGUCAGAGGUGAAAUUCUUGGAUUUAUUGAAGGCUAACUACUGCGAAAGCAUUUGCCAAGGAUGUUUUCAUUAAUCAAGAACGAAAGUUAGGGGAUCGAAGACGAUCAGAUACCGUCGUAGUCUUAACCAUAAACUAUGCCGACUAGGGAUCGGAUGAUGUUAAUUUUUAAUGACUCAUUCGGCGCCUUAA
Molecule: ribosomal RNA, 520 nt
Filed under: uncultured Glomus
Lineage: Eukaryota; Fungi; Glomeromycota; Glomeromycetes; Glomerales; Glomeraceae
Description: SSU rRNA
Rfam family: Eukaryotic small subunit ribosomal RNA
Source: RNAcentral